GAAGUCCACUAGGGGUGCCAUUUGGCUGAGAUAAGAGUAAUCUUUAUCCCUUUGAACCUGAUCUGGUUAACACCAGCGUAGGAAAGUGGAGCCGGAUUCGU
This 101-nucleotide non-coding RNA is filed under the name Terribacillus aidingensis. RNAcentral describes it as "TPP sequence". It matches the Rfam family "TPP riboswitch aptamer (THI element)". From Rfam's summary of the family: Vitamin B(1) in its active form thiamin pyrophosphate (TPP) is an essential coenzyme that is synthesised by coupling of pyrimidine and thiazole moieties in bacteria. The previously detected thiamin-regulatory element, thi box was extended, resulting in a new, highly conserved RNA secondary structure, the THI element, which is widely distributed in eubacteria and also occurs in some archaea. The record is from Rfam by way of RNAcentral. Lineage: Bacteria; Bacillati; Bacillota; Bacilli; Caryophanales; Bacillaceae.